This 237-nucleotide long non-coding RNA is filed under the name Lathyrus oleraceus (garden pea). RNAcentral describes it as "Pisum sativum (pea) long non-coding RNA (PSAT_LNC035198)". Lineage: Eukaryota; Viridiplantae; Streptophyta; Magnoliopsida; Fabales; Fabaceae. The record is from RNAcentral.
UCUUACUCAAAGGUUUGGCCUCGCCAAAGUUUCUCGUCGGAAAUCUAAAAAUCCAGAUUCUGGCGAGUUGGUUUAUUUUCUUUUCUUUGUUUUUCUUGCUGAUUUAUGCUUUUGCUUGUACCUUUAUUGUUUCCCCAUGUAAAUCCUUCCUAGUGGCUUGUAAUUUGUCUAGAAUGUUAAAAUGGGGAAUUUAGGGUUUAUGUGUGUUAGGGUUUGAUUUGUGUUUUUUUUUGUUUU